AAGAAGCCUUAUGGUACCAACCUAAAUUGGUAGAAUUAAGGAAGUUUUUAGUUCCUCUGCUAAUUCAGAGAUAUAUAGAAAGCCUGCAUUUUUCAACCACCUUUGGCAAUUUGCUUCCAGCAGUUCAGCAACUCCCUCGUGGACACCUUUACAAGUCAACGCUGCGCGCUGUACUGUGGGCGACGGAUGAUGCGUGUGCAGCUUGAACUGCAUGUGCGUGUCGGCACCUGGAACCGGUGGAUCCAGGAAAUUUCAACAGGCCAGACUGCAUCAUGUAGGAAAGCAACAGUGGUUGCACAAAGAUUUAAGGUUAAACAGUUACGGUGGAAAUCAACCAUUAGGCCAUAACGUCUCACAAAAACAGUGCAAAAACAAGCAGCUCUCGUCAAGGCCUGGAUUAUCCUGACCAUAUGACACAAAAUGGAUUCAUUUAAAGGCAACCUUCAAGGAACUGAAUCUGAAAGACAAGUAACCAGUUCCUCAUUUGACGAUAUGUCACUCUUUGGUGUGCAUGAUGCACGUACUUCAUGCUUUGGGUCACAAGGAAGACGGAAAUACGGAGACAACAGUUCUGUGAAUUAUAAGCAGACUUUAGGUCACAAACAAAAGCAGAGAGACGUGGAUCUGAUAAGCAGUAGAAACCUGUCUUUCUGGUCAUUUAAGUGACAGCAGAUGUGAAAAGGGUUUGGUUUAAAUGCAGUUUUCAAAUCCAGACGACCUCACUAUUUAAAAUGUGGUUGACUAAAUCAUUCUUUCAAAAUUGCUGAAUUAUUUCUCGUAAGGUUGGAAUGCAUCUUGUGGUGGUUUUACUGGAUUUCCAAAAAUAGUUGGCAGAAAUAGGGACAGUACACACUAAUGCACAUAUGCAGCAAUAUAUGUAAAUAUGUCAGAUUAUAGCUCAAGGCUAGUUUCCACCUGGAGUCUCUUGGCAGGUUGGUGGAACAUUAAAAAAAAGACACUUAACACAGAGAUAACAAACAAAGACAGAGCAACUGUAGAAAGAUAAAAAUCACAUGGCCCUGCGAUGGACUGGUAAUCUGUCCAGGAUGUACCGACUAUCGUCCUAUGUCAGCACCCCCAGCGACCCCGCCGUGGAGGAUUAAGCGGUAGAAAAUGGAUGGGUGGAUGGAGGUGGAGCCAGUCCAUGCAGGAUUUUAUACAUUCAGGCAGGCAGUUUUAAACGUUUUAUUUUAGGAGGUUAUAUCUAUAGGUAGAAUAUUACAGAAUAUCGUGUAUCGUGUAAAUUUUCAGUGCUUUUUUAGAAAGUGAUUUGAUUGGUUUGAGGGUCGCCACUCCCGCCAGUGACCAGCUUGUAAAACAAAAGCUCAACAAUAGCUUUCAUUUAAGAUGAAAUGAAUGGCUAACAACAGGCAUUUCCUGUCCUUUGCAAUGUAUGUACUUGUCUGCAACUUCAUGUAAGAGAACACCUCAAGUUUCACUUUCAUCAUGUUAGUAAAAUAAUAUUCAAAAUAAUAAUAAGUCACAAUUACUAGUUAAAUGAUGUUAAUUUGUGUAUUUGAUUAGGGUUAUCAUCGCAGAACGCUCCGGUAAUUGAAAGUUGUGCAAAAGUCGCAGUUAAAUUAUCGCGAUUCCAAAUUCUAUAGGGUGUAAUAUGGGAAGAAAAUAGCACAGAAAAGUUUGGGCGGUCUACUGCUUUUAGGCAUUCUUUGCACUCAUCUCUUCAUGAUUAUUAUUAUUAUCAUUACCUCUGUACGAAUGUUCUGUCUGUUUGUCGAUGAUCACCUGUAUAAAUAAAAAUGUACAUAAUCA
Long non-coding RNA from Solea solea (common sole), 1770 nucleotides. RefSeq lists it as uncharacterized. The transcript is spliced from 2 exons. The record is from RefSeq and is a predicted model, not a curated record. Lineage: Eukaryota; Metazoa; Chordata; Actinopteri; Pleuronectiformes; Soleidae.